AUGAAGCGCAACAGAGCAGCUGCCCAGGACGGCUUUCCUGCCGAGUUCUUUCAAUUUUUCUAGAACCUCAUUUGUAACGAUCUCCUUAGGCUUUUUCAUGACUUUUAUGAGGGCAAGAUUAACAUUUCAAGGCUUAACUAUGGUGUAAUCACUUUGCUUGAUAAGGGGCAGGGGGCUGAUAGGAUUCAAAUGUACCGCCCCAUUUGUAUGCUGAACGUACCUUUUAAAUUUUUUACAAAAGUUCUUAACAAUAGAGCUAUGAAAAUUGCUGAUAAAACAAUUUCUAAAGCUCAAUCUGCGUUUAUAAAGGGUCGCUACAUCCGGGACAAUGUGCUUAUGCUUCAUGAAGCUAUCCACUCUUUACAUAGAAAUAAAUGUUCUGCUGUGCUUUUUAAGGUUGAUUUCGAAAAAGCUUACGAUAAAAUUAAUUGGAGUUUCAUGCUUGAUGUCCUAAAGAUGAAAGGCUUCCCUGAACGUUUUGUCCAGUGGACAAAAGAUGUCGUUAGUAAUGGAAAGGUUGCCAUCACUAUUAAUGAUGUUAUUGGCCCGUAUAUUGUUACUAGGAAGGGUUUGAGGCAAGGGGACCCGUUUUCCCCCUUGCUUUUCAAUUUGGCGGCUGAUGUUCUUGCUACCCUGGUGCAAAGGGCGCAAGAACAAGGAUUUAUCAAGGGAGUUUGCCUAGGUUGUAUGUAG
This 693-nucleotide ribosomal RNA is filed under the name Triticum aestivum (bread wheat). Its description in RNAcentral is "partial small subunit ribosomal RNA". Lineage: Eukaryota; Viridiplantae; Streptophyta; Magnoliopsida; Poales; Poaceae. The record is from RNAcentral.